This is a long non-coding RNA of Nerophis ophidion (straightnose pipefish), 940 nucleotides long. RefSeq lists it as uncharacterized. The record is from RefSeq and is a predicted model, not a curated record. NCBI's taxonomy places the organism in Eukaryota, Metazoa, Chordata, Actinopteri, Syngnathiformes, Syngnathidae. The transcript has 3 exons.
CUUGCUUGCUUCACUCUACAGUUGACGUCGCUCUUUCCAGCCUUGUGAGAACAACUCGUCACCACAAUGCCACCAAGACGUCACAUGUACGUCCACGGGUGUGUUGACGCGCAGUGUCUCAGAGGAGUCGACAGCAGCUAUGGAUGGGACAAGCUCAGCUUUUCUCCGAAGCAGCAGGCUCAGACAACUCGGCAUUACAAGAAAACGUGGAGUUUUUGUACCGCUGUUUUUUUGUUUUGUUCUGUUUUUUUACGUCCCUGACAGGAAUUUAUUAAUGUUGUUUAAAGAAAAAAAAAAAAAAAGAAAAAAAACACACACACAGGCAGAGGGCACUUUUUAAGAGGAGGCAAACAAGGGCAGGGGCUCAAGCACCCUUUGGGCCCUAUGUGUGCACGUGCCUGCUCAGGACUUUCGUAUUGUGAGGCAGACGCACUAACCCCUCUUCCACCGUGAAGCCUUUAUUACACUUUUUAGUGUUUUUUUUUAUUAUUGUGCCGCAAGAUUGUUGUCAAUGGACUUCUCAAAAAGCGGAACGAGACUGAGUUCAUAUAUUUGAGGCUGUCUUUUAUUGUGGAUCAACAAGACAUGGAGGGGAAGUUACACAGAGCACAUCAAGAUUGGCUUCUUCAUAAAUAAACAUUUAUAAAUAGGCAUAGAUAAAUACAGUACACCAUUAAAUAUGUCCGACGUAAGACAACAAUAGGCCUCGAUCAAUAGAGUAGACCAUUAAUAAACAUAAAUAGAGCAGACCAUUAAUAAACAUAAAUAGAGUGGACCAUGAAAAAGAUAGAUAAAUAGAGUAGAAAUACGUCCAACAUAAGUUAGAACAAAGUGUUUGAUACAAACAUCAUGUGUGUUGACAACUUCAACACUUCUUCAAGUAGGUUUGUGCACGUGUUAAAAAGUGCUGAGUAGUCCUCGGUCACUGUUCCGCUCCUUC